GCCUUGUUGAGGACCUUGGUUGUGUGUUUGGGUUCAGCAGCACUUUUAAUAAGUGUUGUUACAGUCAACAUCUGGACAAGAACUAAAGGGAAAGAAACCCGGAUGGAAGAAAUCAUGCAGCUGGAUGAGGUGGUUGAAGGAGACGACUCGGUGAACUACGUAAACGUUGGAGAGCCUUCUGCCUCCGUCUCACUGGACUGAUGGACGACGUGAAGCCACCACAGAGUCCCUGAUGUCAGACGCCAUGACGCCGUUGUCCACGGCAACAGACGCUUUAAGAGGCUUCAGUGCAGAAACGCUUGUGUUUCACUUUAAACGGGACAAAGAUGCUUCAGUCUUUAUACAGACUGAAUGUUUC
Molecule: non-coding RNA, 358 nt
Organism: Gasterosteus aculeatus aculeatus (three-spined stickleback)
Lineage: Eukaryota; Metazoa; Chordata; Actinopteri; Perciformes; Gasterosteidae
Source: RefSeq, a predicted model, not a curated record